GCUGGGGUGGCGGAAUUGGUAUACGCGCAUGGCUUAGGACCAUGUCCCGCAAGGGUUGAGAGUUCAAGUCUCUCCCCCAGCA
This 82-nucleotide transfer RNA is filed under the name Candidatus Kaiserbacteria bacterium RIFCSPLOWO2_01_FULL_55_19. RNAcentral's name for it is "tRNA-Leu". It matches the Rfam family "tRNA". Rfam says of the family: Transfer RNA (tRNA) molecules are approximately 80 nucleotides in length. Their secondary structure includes four short double-helical elements and three loops (D, anti-codon, and T loops). Lineage: Bacteria; Candidatus Kaiseribacteriota. The record is from RNAcentral.